Long non-coding RNA from Armigeres subalbatus, 1157 nucleotides. RefSeq lists it as uncharacterized. Lineage: Eukaryota; Metazoa; Arthropoda; Insecta; Diptera; Culicidae. The record is from RefSeq and is a predicted model, not a curated record. The transcript has 3 exons.
GAAUAAAACUGACAGCCUCACUGGCGGUUGAAUCAUUAGCUGUCUAAUGCAGAGCAAAUCGCUAUUACGCUAAUACCACUCGUUACCUUUCCCUUAGGAUAAUUUAUUUACAGCGGUUUGAGAAAGAACGUAACCUAUUUCUCGUAUGUAACGUCAGCUGUCAGGUCCCUGCGCGGAAGGGCAGCCAACCUUUUAAAUCUGGGUUGCCAAACUUCGUAAAGUGUCCAACUUCGGAAUAAUUUCCACGAAGCAAAAUUGAUAAAACUAAUUGCAGCAAGACAUUGAGCCUCUUUCCGUUCUAGACUAUUCAGAUAAUAGUAGUGCGCGUCGUGUAUCUCAAACAGUAGUGUAAAUGUUAAAAAAUUAACAAUAAGUAAGGUGUAUAAUAGUGUUAUGUGUUUUCUCUUUUAGAUUCUAUAAAAUACUGAAAAAGUUAAGCCUAAUAGUACGGAAAGUUUAAAUUAGUACGGUUGUUCGUAGAAAGUACGCUUCACAAUAGACCCAUAAAAAACGGGAAUUGUAAAAAACAAACAGAACAGUAUAAAGAAAAGGUCCAGAUCUGGGCCUUUUCUUUCCGUUUUCCUUUGGUUUGAAAUCCCGGAGGUAUUCUUCUCUGUAUCCACAGUUUCCUGGACCAGCCAAGCCGUAAAGAGAGUGAGCAAAUACCGUGCGGUAGUGGAACCUACCCCCCCUCCGAUACCCAUCACCCGGCGGCGCCCAUUUUGGAAAUAAACGUCUUCAGGACCAAGUCGCCACCUACCAGGUCCCCAGCGGCCAUUUUGACGACUAAAAUCAACCAAUUAAGGGAUCGGACACACCACGUUUUGCUCCUCGAGUCUGGAUACCGGGCUGGUACCAGUGAAAGCCUUCUCGACGGUGAACCAUCGUCACAAACUGGAUUUCGGUUCAAAUCGGACUUGCUAGAGGCUCCAGGAACCUCCGAACAACCCUGGCCCAGCGAUCGUACACCCAGCUACGCCCUUUGUACCGGUUUGGAAUCGGUGACUGGAUGCAAAUCACCAGCCUGCCCCCACCACAAGCAAGCCUUCAUCUGCAACGCCAUCGACCAUUCCACGCUGUCGUCCACCGAACCCAGGCUCUCGCCGGCAACGCCGUCGGCCUAUCCACGCCGCCAGCCACAGCAAUCAAGCUUUCGC